GUUGGUACUUGUACCGACUGGAUGAGCAGCGAACGGGUGAGUAACGCGUGGGGAAUCUGCCUUUGAGCGGGGGACAACAUUUGGAAACGAAUGCUAAUACCGCAUAACAACUUUAAACACAAGUUUUAAGUUUGAAAGAUGCAAUUGCAUCACUCAAAGAUGAUCCCGCGUUGUAUUAGCUAGUUGGUGAGGUAAAGGCUCACCAAGGCGAUGAUACAUAGCCGACCUGAGAGGGUGAUCGGCCACAUUGGGACUGAGACACGGCCCAAACUCCUACGGGAGGCAGCAGUAGGGAAUCUUCGGCAAUGGACGAAAGUCUGACCGAGCAACGCCGCGUGAGUGAAGAAGGUUUUCGGAUCGUAAAACUCUGUUGGUAGAGAAGAACGUUGGUGAGAGUGGAAAGCUCAUCAAGUGACGGUAACUACCCAGAAAGGGACGGCUAACUACGUGCCAGCAGCCGCGGUAAUACGUAGGUCCCGAGCGUUGUCCGGAUUUAUUGGGCGUAAAGCGAGCGCAGGUGGUUUAUUAAGUCUGGUGUAAAAGGCAGUGGCUCAACCAUUGUAUGCAUU
This 569-nucleotide ribosomal RNA is filed under the name Lactococcus lactis. Its description in RNAcentral is "bacterial SSU rRNA". It matches the Rfam family "Bacterial small subunit ribosomal RNA", at positions 72 to 627 of the family's 1533-position model. Lineage: Bacteria; Bacillati; Bacillota; Bacilli; Lactobacillales; Streptococcaceae. The record is from RNAcentral.